GCUGCUUUCGUAUAAUUGGCUAUUACACAUCCCUUGUAAGGAUGGAAAUGCAGGUUCGAGUCCUGUGAGCAGCACCACCAC
Molecule: transfer RNA, 81 nt
Filed under: Escherichia phage SUSP2
Lineage: Duplodnaviria; Heunggongvirae; Uroviricota; Caudoviricetes; Andersonviridae
Description: tRNA-Thr
Rfam family: tRNA
About the family: Transfer RNA (tRNA) molecules are approximately 80 nucleotides in length.
Source: RNAcentral